RNAcentral lists this transfer RNA (73 nucleotides) under Limosilactobacillus urinaemulieris. RNAcentral's name for it is "Limosilactobacillus sp. c9Ua_26_M tRNA-Asn". It matches the Rfam family "tRNA". Rfam says of the family: Transfer RNA (tRNA) molecules are approximately 80 nucleotides in length. Their secondary structure includes four short double-helical elements and three loops (D, anti-codon, and T loops). Further hydrogen bonds mediate the characteristic L-shaped molecular structure. tRNAs have two regions of fundamental functional importance: the anti-codon, which is responsible for specific mRNA codon recognition, and the 3' end, to which the tRNAs corresponding amino acid is attached (by aminoacyl-tRNA synthetases). tRNAs cope with the degeneracy of the genetic code in two manners: having more than one tRNA (with a specific anti-codon) for a particular amino acid; and 'wobble' base-pairing, i.e. permitting non-standard base-pairing at the 3rd anti-codon position. RNAcentral also lists the same sequence under 1 other name. Lineage: Bacteria; Bacillati; Bacillota; Bacilli; Lactobacillales; Lactobacillaceae. The record is from RNAcentral.
GCUGAUGUGGGCCAGUGGUUGGCAAGUAUUCCAUUGAAUUGGUAACACGGCGGUUCGAUUCCGUCCAUCAGCA